RNAcentral lists this transfer RNA (69 nucleotides) under Odontocimbex svenhedini. RNAcentral's name for it is "tRNA-Leu". Lineage: Eukaryota; Metazoa; Arthropoda; Insecta; Hymenoptera; Cimbicidae. The record is from RNAcentral.
GCUAUUUUGACAGAUUAUUGUGAUAAAUUUAGAAUUUAUUUAAGUAUAAUUAUAUUUAUACAUUUAGUA